Cyanistes caeruleus (blue tit) is the source of this 285-nucleotide long non-coding RNA. RefSeq lists it as uncharacterized. The record is from RefSeq and is a predicted model, not a curated record. Lineage: Eukaryota; Metazoa; Chordata; Aves; Passeriformes; Paridae.
CAUUUGGUCUGAGGAACAUUGUGCUGGAUCAGCAGCUGCUCAAACUCUUCUGUGUGACUCUCCCAGCUUGUGUCAUCAGAGAUCCAGCACAUCUUUGGAUCAGCUUCAAGGAUGUUCCUGCCUGGGACUGGGGUUCUUAAAAGGCUCACACCCCAAAACCAGGCAGCUAUUUGGAGGCUGAAACCAUGAAGUGACCCUGAGGAUCCCUGAGCUACAGAAUUAUGCACAGGACAAGUUCACACAGCAGAUUAUGAUAAACUGAGUACCAGGAAGCAAGAAAGCUGA